GCGAUUCCCUUCGGGGAUUAGCGGGUCGUCAGACGUGGCGGCUGGACGGUUCCUCCAUCCGCUGUUGGGAGGAACGUGUCCCCACUUUGGCGGGUGUGGGACACCACUCCAUCCGCUGUUGGGAGUGUGAUAUGAGUUUGCCUCCAUCCGCUGUUGGGAGGACACAAACUCAUCCCGUAGGGUAAAGCCUCUCCAUCCGUUGUUGGGGGAGUGCUCCUUCGGGUAUUUGAUAUACGCCAAUGGGAUGAUUGAUUGAAUUUUGAUCAUAUAUACAUUUUGAGUUGACUUUUGGGGUUCCUACUCAGCGUUGCUGAAUUUUCUUUGUUUUUGAUUUUCA
This 337-nucleotide long non-coding RNA is filed under the name Musa acuminata (dwarf banana). Its description in RNAcentral is "long non-coding RNA (MACU_LNC005816)". Lineage: Eukaryota; Viridiplantae; Streptophyta; Magnoliopsida; Zingiberales; Musaceae. The record is from RNAcentral.